GGGUCAGUAGGUUGGUCGUGCCACCGGUACGUACUGGUCUCACUGAUUCCUCCUUCCUGAAGUACCGUAAUGCCAUUAAUUUGGUGUUGCGGGGAAACAGGACUGUUACUUUGAAAAAAUUAGAGUGCUUAUAGCAAGCUAACGCUUGAAUACAUUAGCAUGGAAUAAUGAAAUAGGACGAUCGAUCCUAUUUUGUUGGUUUCUAGGAUUGACGUA
Molecule: ribosomal RNA, 216 nt
Filed under: Glomeromycotina sp.
Lineage: Eukaryota; Fungi; Glomeromycota
Description: partial small subunit ribosomal RNA
Rfam family: Eukaryotic small subunit ribosomal RNA (bases 40-216)
Source: RNAcentral